RNAcentral lists this ribosomal RNA (490 nucleotides) under uncultured bacterium. RNAcentral describes it as "partial 16S ribosomal RNA". It matches the Rfam family "Bacterial small subunit ribosomal RNA", at positions 28 to 507 of the family's 1533-position model. The record is from RNAcentral.
GAUGAACGCUAGCUACAGGCUUAACACAUGCAAGUCGCGGGGCAGCAUGGGGGUUGCUUGCAAUCCCCGAUGGCGACCGGCGCACGGGUGAGUAACGCGUAUCCAACCUGCCCUUCACCACGGGAUAACCCGGCGAAAGUCGGACUAAUACCGUAUGUUGUCCAUUGACGGCAUCCGAUUUGGACGAAAGGCUUGGCGGUGAGGGAUGGGGAUGCGUCCGAUUAGCCAGACGGCGGGGUAACGGCCCACCGUGGCUACGAUCGGUAGGGGUUCUGAGAGGAAGGUCCCCGACACUGGAACUGAGACACGGUCCAGACUCCUACGGGAGGCAGCAGUGAGGAAUAUUGGUCAAUGGGCGUAAGCCUGAACCAGCCAAGUAGCGUGCAGGAUGACGGCCCUAUGGGUUGUAAACUGCUUUUAUGCGGGGAUAAAGUGGCCCACGUGUGGGCUUUUGCAGGUACCGCAUGAAUAAGGACCGGCUAAUUCCGUG